RNAcentral lists this transfer RNA (81 nucleotides) under Saccharomyces cerevisiae (brewer's yeast). RNAcentral describes it as "tRNA-Glu". The stretch from base 10 to 81 matches the Rfam family "tRNA". Rfam says of the family: Transfer RNA (tRNA) molecules are approximately 80 nucleotides in length. Their secondary structure includes four short double-helical elements and three loops (D, anti-codon, and T loops). The record is from RNAcentral. Lineage: Eukaryota; Fungi; Ascomycota; Saccharomycetes; Saccharomycetales; Saccharomycetaceae.
AGAUUACCAUCCGAUAUAGUGUAACGGCUAUCACAUCACGCUUUCACCGUGGAGACCGGGGUUCGACUCCCCGUAUCGGAG